This is a small nucleolar RNA of Mastomys coucha (southern multimammate mouse), 140 nucleotides long. RefSeq annotates it as small nucleolar RNA SNORA48. NCBI's taxonomy places the organism in Eukaryota, Metazoa, Chordata, Mammalia, Rodentia, Muridae. The transcript has a single exon. The record is from RefSeq and is a predicted model, not a curated record.
ACUUUCUGGCAAUGGGCAAAGAGACACCUUACUGAUGUUGCUCUUAUAUCAGUCAGGGCUGAGCAGAUGGCAGUCCUUUGCUCAUCCUAGCCUGAUGUCCAGUUUUGUGGCCAAAGCUGUUUUAUGCCUAGGACUCAUAG